This 253-nucleotide ribosomal RNA is filed under the name uncultured bacterium. Its description in RNAcentral is "partial 16S ribosomal RNA". It matches the Rfam family "Bacterial small subunit ribosomal RNA", at positions 524 to 776 of the family's 1533-position model. The record is from RNAcentral.
UACGUAGGGGGCGAGCGUUAUCCGGAUUUACUGGGCGUAAAGCGCGUUAAGGCGGUUGGCAAAGUUGGUGGUGAGAUCUCAGGGCUCAACCCUGAAACUGCCUCCAAUACUGGUCGACUCGAGUACGAGAGAGGAAGGUGGAAUUCCCGGUGUAGUAGUGAAAUGCGUAGAUAUCGGGAGGAACACCAGUGGCGAAGGCGGCCUUCUGGCUCGUAACUGACGCUGUAGCGCGAAAGCGUGGGGAGCGAACGGG